UUGUCAUUUAAGUAGCUGCGUGACUGUGGGCCGGUCACUCAACCUCUACAAGCUGCAGCAUCACUCUCUGUCAAAAUGAACACUAACUUUGUUGGUUCUGAGGAUCAGAGAUGAGGUAGAUUAAACAAUGGGGCAUUGAAGUCUGGAGAUACAAAUCUAUACAGAAAUGGCUUUCAGGCUUUGGAACAACACAGUUCAGCUGAGACCCAUUCCGGAUGAGGACUCAGAGGCCUCCAGUCUGAGGAAACAAGACCAGCUCAGAAGUUGACCAGAUGAUGGCUUGAAAUGAGCGCGCAAUCCAAUCAAUCUCUUGAAAAUAAUUCAUGAGAAGAGAUCACCACGUCGGGGGACAUACAUUAAAAAGAUAUGGGAGAAGAGGCAGAGCCUCUUCUUGCCUGCUGCCCUUCACCUCUGGACACUUGAGAAACAAAAUAUAAAGGUUGGAAUUGCUGCAUCUGUCCUGUGAGUGUGAAGAGAAGACCCAGAGAAUGAAAUGAAGUCCACCCACCUGCUCCAUGAAAUCAAACCUAGAAUGAAGCUUCUCUGAACUGCUACUAAAGAAAAGUCUAGUCUUCAUUGUACAAUGUAGUUUUACUUUGAA
Peromyscus maniculatus bairdii (prairie deer mouse) is the source of this 601-nucleotide long non-coding RNA. RefSeq lists it as uncharacterized. The record is from RefSeq and is a predicted model, not a curated record. NCBI's taxonomy places the organism in Eukaryota, Metazoa, Chordata, Mammalia, Rodentia, Cricetidae.